UCUAUACCCCUAAACAACAAAAAAGAAAUAGAAACGAUAUUAUCUCUUCACUCGCAUCAAAUGGAUGAAAAUAUAGAGUUCAUUUUCUUCCUCCCUCCAUCUGUUUCGGUAUAGAAACACAAACCCAUUUUCUUGUUUCUGUAUUAGUGAUGAUGGAUUAAUGGAAAUGUAACUCCUAAUUUGAAACACUUUCAGACUUAUACCAUGCACCUUCUCUGUUCGUUAAAAUGCCUUGCAGAUUUUCGUUGAUAUUGAUUGUGGUUAAGGAUUCUAAAGUGAUCUUUCUAGGUUUGUACUCGAGACCUUGUUGAAAAUUCAAUGCAUCAUACAUUUCCUAACUGUUAGAGGAUGAUCAUGAGGAAGCAAGGCCAGUGGAUAAAAAGUCAAGAGACAAGGUUCUUUGUGUUCUUUUUUAGGCAUUUGGAAACGCAUCCUUUCUCAACAAUAGAUUAUCAACAGAUUGGCUCUUAAAGUUCGUUACUGUAUGCAAGAGGUUUCUAGAGAUUUUGCACAACUAGUUCUGACGCCACUACCAAGGCUUCAGUAUAUCCAUGUAGUUCAUUUUUAGAACUUUUGUUCAUGUAAAUUAUAAUAGAAUAUCUGUUGAAACUGUCUUGCAAAGCUGAAACCAAAUUGCUUUUCAUAAUGAAGAAACAAAUUUUUUAGACA
Papaver somniferum (opium poppy) is the source of this 669-nucleotide long non-coding RNA. RefSeq lists it as uncharacterized. The record is from RefSeq and is a predicted model, not a curated record. The transcript has 2 exons. Lineage: Eukaryota; Viridiplantae; Streptophyta; Magnoliopsida; Ranunculales; Papaveraceae.